AAUAUGCCUAAAUUUGAAUUCAUUUAUAUACUGCACAAUAAAAGUACGAUUACUAUUAAAUAAUAUUUGAUUCAAAAUUUUUAAUAAUGUAUGUGAUUUCGGACAACCUUUCAUGAUUUAGCUGUGCAUCAUAUUUUAGCUUUGACAUAUACAUAUGUAUGUACAUAAGUUCGACGUAUAUUUUUGAUAAGUUCGUUCACAUCGAGGCGAACGAAGAAAAUUUUAUGGGUGACUCACAUAUUUUUAUACAAUUUGCAUUAUUUGGAAAUACGCCUAUAAUUUUAGUUUACCGAAACAGUUCAAAUGAAAAAAACAAUAGACGAAAUAUGAAAUAUCAGCAAGCCAUUCUUUCUGAUAUAUCCCACACUUUCUCGGUAUAAGCCACGAAACGAAUUUGAAAUGAAAACAGUAGCGAAAUGUUAUGAACAAGAAUACAAACAUGUUGCCCGAGAACGAACAACUUGGUGCCCUUUGUCUUUCCUCGUCUCAUCUUCGGCAUUAAAAUAUGAGUUUGGCCCACAAAAGUAUCCGCUUGUGACCACAGUCAACUUAAAGUGGAAAAGAGUUACAUUCAAAACAAAUUAAAUCUGCCAUUCUCACUAAUCGUCUGCAUGCGAUAAAAAAAAAAAAACAAUUUAUGGUUUUUUGCACAUCUCCAUUGUGUCUCUGUAGCAAAAAUACAAGUUUGUCAAUUGUUGUUGUUCUUGUCGUGGCUUAAAAUAUUUCCAAAUUUUGAGUUGGCAGCUCUUAACCGGAUGUAAAUUGUGGGAACGGAAAUGUUAUUUAGUAAGCCUAAACCGAAUUAUUCCUUGAAUAUUUUCGAUUAGCAGAUCUCUAUUCUUGAAGAAGAAAAUUAUUAGUUUAUCAUUGUGACUAUUGAGAACAGUUGUUUUGGAUUAUUUUACCUACACUAACACGGUUGGAGCACCUGUUUCAUCAUUUUCGCGGUACCAACUUGUUCAAAGAACCAGUAAAAUCACGUGAAUGUCAAAUUCUUUAAAUAGCUUAAGAUUGAAUUUUUCAACUUCUGGGAACUACAUAUACAUAUGUUACAUUAUAGAAUUACUAUUUUCAAAAGUACUGCAAUUAAACUCGAAGAUGUUUGUAUACGAAUGUAUUUCGUUGUUUUAUUAACGCAUUUUAAUACUUAAAAUAAAUUCAAUGUACAAAUAUUUUUGUAAUGGAGCCCUAGCAUAUUAUGUUUUGAUUUCACGCAAUUUUCUAUUAAAGGCGAGCACAUUAUCGUAUAAAAACAAAAUGAAAUAAGCACAUUACUACUGGAACAUAUGUGUGUAUGUACAUUUAAUACAUAGUUAAAACUCAGUUCAUGCAUACAUACAUAUAUCUUUUACAUAUAAUAUAUUUUUUUUAAUUCAAGGCAGUUUUACAUUACAAAGCAAAUUUAAAUGCAUAUCUGCAGUACAAAAAAAAAAAUAAUAAUAAUAAUAA
This is a long non-coding RNA of Bactrocera neohumeralis, 1449 nucleotides long. RefSeq lists it as uncharacterized. The record is from RefSeq and is a predicted model, not a curated record. NCBI's taxonomy places the organism in Eukaryota, Metazoa, Arthropoda, Insecta, Diptera, Tephritidae. The transcript has 2 exons.